This is a long non-coding RNA of Nothoprocta perdicaria, 871 nucleotides long. RefSeq lists it as uncharacterized. The transcript is spliced from 5 exons. The record is from RefSeq and is a predicted model, not a curated record. Lineage: Eukaryota; Metazoa; Chordata; Aves; Tinamiformes; Tinamidae.
GCGAUGUGAGGAGCGGCAUGGGCAGUAAGGGGGGCUUGUCUAUCUGGAUGCAGGCAAUAAACGUCUGUUCUCACCCUGACUUCUGUUAAUGAGAUAGAGACAGCCAUACGCGACUGCUCGUCCAUGGAGUGGGAAGCCUUGGGAAGGGCAGGGACAUCUCCACCUGAGCAGAGAGAGUUUUAGGACAUGCACAGGCUAAGACUGUUCAGAGCCGAAGAGUCAGCGAGCGUCAGAGCAGAGGAGCAGGAAGGAGACGCGUGAACUCCCAGCCCAGCCGGCGCCAGCACCCGGGGACCACAGCUCCAUCAGGAUCUCAGUGAGAGGAGACAGGACCUUUCCAGCCCGUGGGCUCCUCGUCGCUGCUGGCCACCACAAGCCUGGACUUGCUGCCUGACAUCCCCAGCUUCUCCAGGAGGGCCCUUCCUGCCCCACAAUGGCCCCAGAGAAGAGGUGGCUUUUGCUCAGGAACAGAGAGAUUUUCUCCAUGGCUUCAAAUCCCAGCAGCCCAACCCUGGGGAGGGAGCCAGGGAAACCCAGGGAGCCCACUGAAAAUCCCGCAUAAGUCCUGAAUGUUGUACCUGUCUUUGGUGCCCUAAACACCUCCAGACGAGCUUGUCCUGCUCAGGCAGGGAGAUCUAAGCAGGCCACUGCCUCGAGAGGCAAAAUGCAAGGAGGAUAGAGGGAGCGGGAGGGAAAUCCAAGUCGGCCGAGUGUUGUUAAUAGCACCAGUGAGCACAAAGGUUGGGCUCUGAUCACAGUGUGGCCGUCCCGCUGGGGCUGAGGGUGAAAUCCCGCAGGACUGUGCAUCCCUCCGGCCCCGCUGCCCUUUUAUUGCCCGUGUCCCUAGUCCCGUGCGAGAAAUGUACUGGCU